AUUGAAAACAUACCAUGAUGUACUUUUGUGAUUAUCUUUAUCUCCUCCCUAGUUGCUGUCAUUGUAACUAAUUAAAAUUUAUUCUUAAUCUCUCGUAAUGAAUCCUAUGAUCAAUAGUACCAACAACAUAACGAAUGAUUAUUUUACGGAAAAAGAUACUUGUACAACAUUUGAGGGCUGUAAAAAUUUAAGCUCUCUCACAUGUGUGGGAUCUGCAAUUAUUUUAAUCAUGGCCCCAUCCUUUAUAUGUGAGAGGACUGCUCUUGGAGUUUGUUUCAAUUCAUACAAUGUUUUUUUUUAAAGGAUAAACCUUGUGUUGGUUGUUCGACGUAGACCUCUUCUUCUAGGAAGCCAUUAAGAAAAGCCAAUUUCACAUCCAUUUGAUGCACCUUCCAACCUAUUUAAGCUACUAAUAAAAAAAAUAGAUGAACUAUUUCCAAACAAGUUAUAGGAGGAAAAAUUUAUUUAAAUUCAACAUCGAACUUCUGCUUGUAACCUUUAACAAGAUGUCUUGUUUUGUUUUUG
RNAcentral lists this long non-coding RNA (525 nucleotides) under Olea europaea subsp. europaea. Lineage: Eukaryota; Viridiplantae; Streptophyta; Magnoliopsida; Lamiales; Oleaceae. The record is from RNAcentral.